GGUAGAUGAAGCUAGUCUAACCAGCCUAACCCGAGGAUUAAUUGUAAGCGUAUUAAUUAUGGGAUAUGUGCGCACAAACCACUGGAUGUAGAUUGUAAAAAUAUGACUGCAAUGCCGCAGUAAGCUGAUCACAUGAUUGUUGUAGCUAGAGUGUCUCGGACUAACUCUAGUCACACCAAGCGCGCGCGCUAGAGGUCCUCGCCAGCCAGCGAAGGUCGCCAUAUCUGAACAGCCGAGUGAACCUCGUCAUCCUGGGUUGACAACACUGGGGCUGCGGGACUAUUGCUAACACCGACAGUCAGCAGGAACAUCCUACACACUGCUUAUCAUUCUUACAAGUGACAUUUAUACUCAGCCAGCAGGUCAGCCACUCGUGACCGACAGCCUCUGGGAGCGACACUGACUUUACUGUCUCACACUAGGGCGAGGCUUGCAGGAAUCAAUCAUUGUCACCUUGGUGGCCAAAGGUGAGCUGGAAUCAGCUAGCCCAGAGAAAACAGAGCGAAGACGCGAACAGAAGAGGAGACAUGCGCAGAAGAAGAGGGAACAGGAAAAGAAAAGAAAACACUCUCUGGAAGAAGAGAACACGCGAUUAAAGACAGAGAACGAGAAGCUGAGCAGAAUCACUGAAAAAUUGCGAUUCGUGGCUAAUAUCCUGCAAGGAGUAGCCAAUCACGCGAGGGAGUCCUGCAAUAAGAUGCCAACACCGGAAAUUCCAUCAUCUGACAUGGAGCAGAGAAAUGUGCCCUCCACAUCCCACCAAAGCCGAGUGGAUCAGUCUCCAGCAUCAACCUCUGGGCCAACCCACGACACCUCAAAGAUGGUGGCACCACCUCCACCAGCCUCGUGGCAGAAGUUGAACGAGGCAGUUCUUCAACCGAAGUUCAACUUCCCGUUUGAAGAUGGUGAAGACGAAGAACUGGGCAGCGACCCCGAGUUGUUGUCAGCCCUCCCCUCCCUGUCUGGCUUUGAGUACGGCAAGACUCUGCUGGACGACUUCAUGUCCGAGUGCGCCUCGUCAGACUGUAACUCCAUGAGGCUGACAGUCUUUCCUGAAGAUGGUGCUACAGGUGCCAGCUAGCACAGGUCAUGUUCUUGCCCGCAGGAUGGCACAGGCAGAGGUCACAGGUUAGCAAAGGUCGCUAGUCUGUCCCACGAGCGAACAGCAAGGUUGCUAGGAAUCAGGCUGGCUAGCCAAGGAGCGAAAGUCAGCCUCGACAGUGACACUUUGAACUGUUUAUGGAAUGUAGUGUCCGUGACUGUACUAAAGGAUAAAUAACUAGAUUGAAAGUUUGUUUGUACAUAAUAUUUCGUUUAGUCGCUGUUAUUUCGCUUACGUGGGUUCACAUGUUGCGUGGGAAUAAUGAUGGCGGUUGAGAUCAUUAUAUAAACUCUACAGCAAUCAUUGGAGCACCACCUUCUCCUUGAGGAGCUUCACCAAGCAGUUUUUUUUUUAUUUAGGCACUUCUCGUUGUUGUUUAAUAUUUUAAAAGAUGUGUAUGAGGGUUUUAUCGUAGGAGCUGUUACUAUGUCUAUAAUUUAUCAUUAUAUUUAAUUGUGUGUUAUUGGUGAGCGACAUUAAGGUUGAUAAUGCUUGUAUUUAUAUCGGGUGGUUUUAGGUGACAGAGGAAUAUACCUGUAUGUGGUUUACAAUUUCCUGGUGAAGGUGUAUCACAGCUUUGUUUGCUAUUUGUAGAGUUCUUGAUUUCUUCGGUGCAAGGACUUCACGGUAACUGAGUCUGAGAAGACUACAGAAAAAAAACAACAACAACGAGAAAGUCCGUCACUUUAAAAAGGCAAAGGAGGUGAGAGGUGGUGGGACGAGGAAGAAUACAAAUCCUGUGUUCAUGUACAUAUAGGCAUGCGAUUGUUUCCCUUUUAUACAAACUUACCACGUGUAUGUGCACCCGCCUUCUGUUUGGACUAGCAUUAGCUAAUAAGAUUGCUUCUAAGUCUCAUCGAUCAACUUUUCCGUCGUAUCAUCUAUGCUCCAUGUAUCUACCAUAUCAAAAUGUAAAUUUUUUUAAAAAUUAAUCAUUCAAGUUACAGGCAGCGGACUGCAAUGAUGGAUUCGUAAGACAUGUUUCACCUCAGGUUCUUCGUUUGUCCCUUAGGUACAUGCAGAAGCGCAAUUCCCUGGGAAAACCCAUUCACCCUGCACGUCCACCCUUUGAUCCACCCGGUGCAGAAAAAUAGUAACGUCCCCUGAGGGCGGUAACCUGAUCGUGACGUCAGGGGGCGCUCAAGGCGGUAUCCGCAUUCCACUGUUGUUGUUAUUCGCUCAUUCCGAAACAUGUUAAGAUUGAAAGAUCUCUCCUCUUGAGGUUCGAGUUAAUAUCAGAGUUGUUUUGUUUUGGCUUUUAAUGGUCGGGUGGUGUGGGCGUGGGCGGGGACUAUAAAAGCACCCGGUAGUUACAAUUUGUUACACUGUAAAUACAUAAAUCACAGUCAGGAGGUUGAGGUCAAUGCAAUCAGAGGACACCUCGCAUUCGUUGUGUUUGCGCGUGCAGUGAAGCAUAAUAUUAUCAGGGCUCGUGGUCCGACAGUUCAAAAUGUCCGACGUUGAUGACAUUGGGUUAUUGUCUGUAGGACACGGCGACACGGUUUCAGCAUGAACACAUUGGGCAUUUAUACUGAUAUUUAAAUCGGUUUUCAUUCACGAUAUUUUUUUAAAUAUUUAUUUCUACGAGACCAUCACAAGUAUUUAGAACAGCUACAACAUGUUCACGAGUACUUUUAAAGAUGAAAAUCUUUCAAGUGCUCGAAAACAGUUAUAAUGCUUUCAUGAUGAGCCAGUCUGUACAAAAUCUGGCUUAGCUGAAAAAAGAUGUCUGAUUAUGUCAUGAGAUUACAGUGCCUACUACCUACAUAAGCUAAUAAAACGAUAGUUUUCACUAAUACGCUUCUUUGAAUGUUUCUUGAUCAUUUUUUGGUGCAAUAAAGGUAGCAGCACUA
RNAcentral lists this unclassified non-coding RNA (2955 nucleotides) under Pomacea canaliculata. Its description in RNAcentral is "stress response protein NST1-like, transcript variant X1". The record is from RNAcentral. Lineage: Eukaryota; Metazoa; Mollusca; Gastropoda; Architaenioglossa; Ampullariidae.